Molecule: long non-coding RNA, 473 nt
Filed under: Chinchilla lanigera (long-tailed chinchilla)
Lineage: Eukaryota; Metazoa; Chordata; Mammalia; Rodentia; Chinchillidae
Description: lncRNA (ENSCLAG00000022647.1)
Source: RNAcentral
UUCCAUGUUUUCUGAAAGGAACUUGUUUGCUUAUUUGUUUAUUUUCCCUUUGGCACACAGUAGAAAGGCUGAAGAAUAAAUGGAGUUGUAGUGCUGGGAUUUUCAUCUUACAAUGCUGAUUUCUCAGGACGCUCUCUAAUGGGAAGGCUGUCCUGCUUCUUUGAGACCUGUCCUCACACCCUGUCACCAGCACCCCAACAAGCCUUUUGGAAUUUAAGGUGGAUUAUUCAAGUUACUCUCUGCUGCAGCUACAGGCCAAGAAACUCCAAGAAGCAAGAGCAACCAUCAGCAACUAAGAAGAGCUGUGGAAGGAGCCCCCUCUAAGUCUUUUGGUGAAUGGCCCUAAGAAUCUCCACUUUAAAGUCAUGGCCUCCAGCACUGUGAGAGAAUAAAUUUCUGCUGCUUGAAGCCUCCUAGUCUGUGUCAAUUUGUUAUGAAAAUCCCCAGAAGCCUCCUACAUCUUCCAUAAGAAC